RNAcentral lists this long non-coding RNA (995 nucleotides) under Nicotiana tabacum (common tobacco). RNAcentral describes it as "long non-coding RNA (NTAB_LNC001207)". The record is from RNAcentral. Lineage: Eukaryota; Viridiplantae; Streptophyta; Magnoliopsida; Solanales; Solanaceae.
UUUCCCUUCCACAGAGAAGACAGUAGACGGAUCCCCCCUUUAGAAAACCCUAGCCGCCUCCUAGAUCCCCUCUCUAAUCUCACCCUCCUCUACUCAUCUUCUCACACACGGAUAUUCACACACUAGGAGAGAUAAAUUUUGGAAUUAAAAAAUCAAAAAAUUCAAAAAGAGUUCCAAAAACCAAAACAAAAACAGAAACAAAAGAGGGAUUUCAAGACUAUUUUCUAAUUCUGCUUCGUUACUUCAUAAUUUCCGGGAUUCCGAGUGCUAUUUGAGCUAUGGAACUGCUAUCCACUGUUGUUUUGUUGUUCAUGUUCUGUUGAUUCGCCUAUUCUGCUUUUAUUUAGCUAUUCGGAAAUCUACACAUUGUUGUUGAGGUAUGAACUUGAUUCAGAUCAUGUAAUUAUUGAUUGGGUGCUAUAAUACCAUGAAUUUGCAGUAAUUUUCUCUAUUUCAUGUGUUCGAAAUGUAUUCCAAUAUCACCUGCCAACUUGAUUUAAUUAUGAAUUGCUUUGAUGCAUGAAAUUAGUAUAGAUCCAUGUAGAAAAGGGGUAUUUUUGCAUAAGUAUUCCUAUUGUAAUUAAUUUGUGCGCAAGAUGAACAUGACUGUAAUUUAUAAAAUAUUUAUGUGCGUAGCCAUGAACUGAUGAAUGGAUUUCUUUUACUAUUUUUGAUCUAUUGCAUUCUAGUGUUAAUUUGGACGAGUGUUAUCACGUUAAUUAUAGCCACGUGGAAAGAUUUGACGCAACAAGGUUUUGCUUUGCUCAUGUCCUUACUCUGUGGGGCUUAAGGAUAAAUCGGCUCAUCCAAUUCGACCAAGGUUCAAAUCGAGCCCAAUGAGUGGAGUUAACUGCUAUAAAAGAGCAACUGUAGCAUUUUAUUACACCCGUCUUCUACUGUAAAUGUCUGUUUUGAUCAAGAUAGAGUAAUGUUUUAUUUUACUCGAAUGUUUAGCCAACCUGGAUUCUCUUUGAAUUAACUGAAGUAACGAGGAG